RNAcentral lists this long non-coding RNA (5304 nucleotides) under Solanum tuberosum (potato). RNAcentral's name for it is "long non-coding RNA (STUB_LNC003588)". Lineage: Eukaryota; Viridiplantae; Streptophyta; Magnoliopsida; Solanales; Solanaceae. The record is from RNAcentral.
UUGUACCCCUUGUUCUUAGACUUGUCGUUAGUAGAGUUUUGGUACAAUGACUUUCAGGUUCUAGGGGUUGUUCUUUCGCAUUAGUUUGGUUAGUUGUUUGUUAAAACCUUGGAGUUUAUGGGGACUCCAUUUUUAUAGUCAUUUAAACCUGCUUCCGUAUCUUUAAAUGUCGUGGUUUCCAAAAAAAUUGUUUGUUUGGGUUGUAGUAAUGGUUCUCCCAUCGGAGGGUUAGUGUGGGUGCCAAUCACGACGGUUUGGGUCGUGACAACCAUGGUAAGCACUUGUUGAACUUGGCUCAAUCAUCUUUGCUCUAGAUUACAAAGACACCUACAAUGGAAGACAAUGUGACAACACUGAGGCCAAAUCUAUGUAUAUAUUUUCUAUGCCUUCUGAAAUUAUAAAUAACAACUUACAAGGUUACAAACUAGAAAUAAUAGUAGUAAGAAUGUUAUGUUUUCUCCUAGGCAUGAGUCUCUAUCUUCAUUUCUGUGUCUGAUAAAGGCAUAUUAAGUACACAAGAGCCUCUUUGCCCUCAGUGGGACUUUUCGGUGCGAAUUCGGAUUUAGUCGGACUCCAAUGUGGAUACCGGACAUCGGGUAGGAAACCAAAAAAAAAAAAGUACACAAGAGCCUCAUAUCAUUUCUAAAUUAAACGACUUUGUUCCCCUCUAAUUUCUAUCAUAUCGAACGUAAUUCAAAUUUUCUCUUAGAAGAAUUCACAACUAUCAAAUGUAAUUCAAAUUUUUACUCCUAGAAUAAUUCACAACUACAUAUUAUAGAUUCCCGCAAGAAGAGUUUAGAUGUUAGCAUCAUCUACUUUACAUCUCGACAUAACUACACAUAAUUGUUAUUCGGGUAACCAAUGCCAAGAUCAUUCACAUCCCCGACAUGAGCAUCAAUUUUCAAACACGAUAUAUGUUAUCUUACAGAUAGAUUUGUUGAUAUUUAAGCAUGCCACAACAUUCUAACCCAAAAUUUUCAAAAUAACUUGAAUGGAACUUACCUUGGAGAAUUGUUGCACAUCAUUUGUUGGCAUUGAGGUAGACCAAAUGCUUUUUAGAGCCUAAAAAAAUCAACUCCUGCAGCACACAAAUGAACAUUCAUAUGUUAACAAAAGAUAAAAGGGAAUAUACACUCAAAGCAAUGUUUGUUGACACUAUAAUACUCAAGCAUACGACACCCAUUAAUUGCUCAAUACCAAAACUUGAUAUUUAAUAAGGCGACUUUCAUCCGAUUUCAGGUUAUCUGUAGAUUGUAGACUAACAAACCACUGAAUUGAUUGAGAUCAAAGUCCACAGAUCCCGCAUAUUUACAUGUUCUCGGGGUCAUCUGCAUCAUCAUGUUUAAAUUGGGCAAGAUGUUUUGGCUAGUCUUGGUAAAAAAAAACAUUACAUAAAGGAAUUCUAAGGGUCAAGAUAAGUACAAAAAUUAAAAGAAAGGUUGAAGCAAGAUGCAAACAGGUGUACAGGACGGAGCUGAAAAGCUGUUAUUUGUUACAUCUCUGAGAUGAAUAAAUCAUGAAGUGUAAUCUCUCAGCUAGGACUCACAGUUUCAAAAUGCAAAAUUCAAAUGGUAAAGGCCUAAACUCUCAUAUUCGCCUUCCUCAAAUCUAAAGAGGAAUCAUAAAUUGAAUAGUUUGUUUAUUGGUACAAAAAUCAUUGCAGAAAUUCAUCCUCAAUGCGAAUAGUUCAUGAUACGUACUAAGAGGAGGAUCCAUGGCUUACUGUUCUAGAUUAGGAAUACAUCUAAUAUUGGUUCACACCCUGAAUAACAAGGAAUAUUCAUAGCAAUACAGAAACUGCAAACUAAAGUGAAGAGAAUUAAGAAGAUCAAGCACUAAAGAAAUAUGAUGUAGUUCAGAAACGUAUUUGUAAAUGGUUAUUUUUACAAAUCCAUACAAGAUUACAAAGUAUGGGACAUAGAAAAAGCUGAAAAAUAGGAUAGACACUUUCACCUAACUUUCAAAAUGUCUUUCUUUGAUAUUCCAGCUUAAUACCAAUGUAUUCAAAUUCACCUAGUAAACUUGAAUACAAUCGGUAAGAUGAUAAAUGAAAGCAUAUAGUAGUAGUCUAUUAAUAUCAAUGAUGUUCCUGUUAUUGGCACAAUAUGCCAUUAUACUUGUAAUCCUAUUGGAAUGUAUAGUUAUUCCAACAGGAUUGUCAGUAGUUAAGCUUUUGUCGAGACAUCUUCUUCAACUUCAGUUAAUUCGAGCAAUUCUCUACUAACAACACUUAAUUUUUAUAUAUUUUUAUCGAUUUAUGAUUAAAUAACUAUACAGAAAUCAACUUUCGCAUAGAAAAUUAAACCUUAUAACUGUAAUAUAAGCUACAACAUCUUUAUUUUACUUGUCCUUUUAAAAUAGUCCAGUUUAUAGAAAACCUAGAAAGUGAAUAUUACUAAUAGUACAAAGAAAUUUUAAUUACAAAGGCAGUGGCAUUCAUAUUAAUAAUCUGCCCAUCAAUAUAAUACAUAAAUAGAAAGUAGUUUGAAGAUGAACCAAAAACAGAAAGAAAAAAGACCUCUAUACUUUUUUUGUUUGAGAAUUAAAAACAGGACUCUAUAUUUGAAAGGAAAUAGCAGAUCGCACAACAUCUUAAGGUGUUAUGCUACUUUUUUUUCUUCAAAAUAUUUUAGUAGCAAUAUCAAAAGUGAUCCAUACAGAAAUAAAAAUACACAAUACAUCUUCUGCAGAGUAAUUUUGCAUGCAACAUCUAUACCUUACGUGAAUGGAAAAUAGAUUUACCCCUUUUUACUUUGAAGCUUUCAAAAGUGAGAAAUCAAUACAAACAUCUACCAAGGCAUAGUUUAUACUUUAAUGGCAAAAUGAAAUAAUGAGGACUCCUCCUUCACAUCACAAGGCAUAAGAACUUAGAAAAAUCUAUUUACAACAUCAGUAUUCUAAUUAUUAUCCAAGCAAAAGUGUUCUUUAUUUUUUUGUCAAAUUCUGAAAAAUGGCAAGUCCAAUUUAUCAUUAUCAAUGUACUUCUCUGUUCCGUUAGAAUAAAACUUUGACAUGUUAUGAACGCCCAAGUUAGCAAAGCUUAUUUGCUACCAUAUUAGCAUCUUUAAUACAAUGGCCUAUUAAAAAUAUAUCACAGAGUUGUAGGCUUUUUUUUUCACUCGUGGGAUUAUGCUCAGUAUGUCGUCAUUGUGCUCUCCAAUUGCCAUGUAAUUUUCUAUCUAUAUUAACAUAGAGUUAAAUGCUAUGUUAACAUAGUUGUAGCGAUUCUGAAUGCACCAACAUAAGCCUAAUAUUAUGCCUACGUGAGGUAAUUGACUUGGUGAAAUAUUCUAUAGCAGACAUAUUAAUUCCUUCAAAGUUAGCAUUUUUUUUUUAUCUUCAAUAUUUCCCAACAUAUCACAAACGAAGUGUAUUGCAUCAUCAUCUAUUGUACAAUGCUUUUAGGCUUCAUAAGCCAUCAUUCUAUAAGUUGAUGCCUCGUGAUGGUUCUGAUUUCUAUCCUCAUACCACAAAAAUCACAUAAAGUUUUUUCAUACCUACCUUGGUUGCUACCUCACUCUACAUAAUAGGUACUCCAUAUCUUACUAUUUAUGAGUUCUACAACACAACAAAUAAAAGGCCUUGUAUAUAUUGAAUUAUGGAAUUAUUAUAAGUAGGAAUAACACUUGCCUCUCAGACUCCACUCAUGGAAUUACACUGGAUAUGUUGUGUUUGUAUUAUCAAUAGAAAGUUUAUUACAUAGUAAACUCUUCAUGAAAAUUGAAAUCUUGAAUAGAAACUUCCUAUGCCAUAUUUUUAAAUUAGACAAAUUCUUAUUGUUCCUACUAUUAAAUUUUUUCCUGGCCCACCACAAGUAAAUUUUUUCAUGUGACCAUCCUAUUCUGCAAGCCAAGAUUUACUCAAAUUGGCCAUUGCAACUUAAUAUAACUAUAAUUUAACAAAAAAACACAAACUUCUAAAAUUGAUAGCCUUGAGUUGAGGAAACUACACCUAAAACUAUAAAUUUUGCUUAACCUUGUUAUGUGGAAUACAAAUGAGUAUUUGUGAUACUUAGGAAAGUUUAAAAUCAGCCACUUCCAAAGAAGAGAUAAUUUGGUUCUAUAUCAUAAAAAAAUCAUUAUUUCUAGCAACUAAAUUUGAUCUUUAUUUUUCACUCAACUGAAACAAUACUCAUUUACAGUGAUGAAAUAUAGAGUGUGACUAAGGAGAAGUAAUACAGGGAAAAGAGAUGAGAGAGUCUAUGUCUCUAGACAUAGGUUUAAUGUGUUAGACAUAGCACGUAACAGACCAUAAUAAACUAAUGGAUAAAACGACUUACCUUGUACAUUGAACCAAUAUUGAAUCGUCAUUGUUAGUCCAAAUGACAGAGUUGGAGGCAUGGUAGCCUUGAGGAACCACGAUUCCCAGCGGCUAUGUAUCAAUUAAAGAUCACAGUUGUGUUGGCGCUGAAGAAAGAGAAUAGAAGGUUGUUCUGUUUAGGAGAAUAGCCGAUGAUCUACUUCUGUUUUGGAAAAGAGAGGAUAUUUCUAGGUCACACGUGGAGUGAGCACGGUUAAAGAAUUUUAAAAAAUAAUGAAAAGACAAUUCACAUUAGGAAGAUAGCUCUCAUUGAACUUACUAAUGAGUCAACAUAAAAUUUAGUUCAAGUAUUAACACCAAAUUACCAGAAUAUACCUCCACAAUUAGUGGAGUCCAAAUAAUGGAAAUGAAAGAACUUGACAAUGGAAAUGGAAAGUGAUCUUUUAUGUGGCUGAAAACGGAAAAAAGAAAAGAAAAAAAGAGCAAUCAAAUUGGAUAUGGACAGAAAUUUGAACGACAUAUUUUAAAAUUUGAAAAGAAUUCUAAAGCAAGUGGAAUUACAACCAUAAUUUGUUUUAACUAAGAGUUUAAUGUAUCCUUCAACUUCAACAAACAUGAAAUUCAACCACUAAAAUGAAAAUUUUAAAAAUAACUUAAUAAGGCAAAAUAAAAAAUAAAAAAUAAUAAUGCUGAAGAUGAAAGUAAAAUAAAAAACAGAAUAUUUAGGAGAAAAAAAAGAGGAUACCUGGACUUGUAAGCUAGUUGAAAGGAUGAAGAAAGUGGGUAUUUCUUUGAUAUUCUGAAGGCUCCGAGGAUGAAAGAGAAAGCUUUAGUCGUAAGCAAGAGUGAAUGGAUACUUGUCGGGUUAUGAUUACAAUUGAAAUAUUAUCAAGUGAAAUGAAAUUAAUAUAAGUUCUUGAUCGUUCUUGACUUCUUCUUGAUGUUUGGAUCCAUGAUUAGAGUUCGGAUUUGGAGAGAUUGGUGAGAAAGAAGAGAAAAAGUGAGAUGAAGAGAACAUUCUGGAAUGGGAAAGAAACAAUAGUU